This 119-nucleotide ribosomal RNA is filed under the name Pteropus alecto (black flying fox). The record is from RNAcentral. Lineage: Eukaryota; Metazoa; Chordata; Mammalia; Chiroptera; Pteropodidae.
GUCUAUAGCCAUGCCACCCUGAACAUGCUUGAUCGCUUCUGAUCUCGGAAGCUAAGCAAGGUCAGGCCUGGUUAGUACUUGGAUGGGAGACCGCCUAGGAAGACCAGGUGCUGUAGACG